GAUCUGGCUCAGGAUGAACGCUAGCUACAGGCUUAACACAUGCAAGUCGAGGGGCAGCAUGAGCUUAGCUUGCUAAGCUGAUGGCGACCGGCGCACGGGUGAGUAACGCGUAUCCAACCUUCCCCUUAGUAGGGCAUAGCCCGGUGAAAAUCGGAUUAAUACCCUAUGUCUUCACAGCGGACAUCUAACGUGAAGCAAAGGUUCACCGCUAAGGGAUGGGGAUGCGUCUGAUUAGGUAGUCGGCGGGGUAACGGCCCACCGAGCCAUCGAUCAGUAGGGGUUCUGAGAGGAAGGUCCCCCACAUUGGAACUGAGACACGGUCCAAACUCCUACGGGAGGCAGCAGUGAGGAAUAUUGGUCAAUGGUCGAGAGACUGAACCAGCCAAGUAGCGUGCAAGGAUGACGGCCCUAUGGGUUGUAAACUGCUUUUAUGCGGGAAUAAAGUGCAUCACGUGUGGUGUUUUGUAUGUACCGCAUGAAUAAGGACCGGCUAAUUCCGUGCCAGCCGCGGC
Molecule: ribosomal RNA, 512 nt
Filed under: uncultured bacterium
Lineage: Bacteria
Description: bacterial SSU rRNA
Rfam family: Bacterial small subunit ribosomal RNA
Source: RNAcentral